AACUUUCAGCAACGGAUCUCUUGGCUCUCGCAUCGAUGAAGAACGCAGCGAAAUGCGACAAGUAAUGUGAAUUGCAGAAUUCAGUGAAUCAUCGAAUCUUUGAACGCACCUUGCGCCCCUUGGUUAUUCCUUGGGGCAUGCCUGUUUGAGUAUCAUGAACACCUCAACUCUCACGGUCUUCCGUGACGAGCUUGGACUUUGGGGGUUUGCUGGCCCUGCGGCCGGCUCCUCUCAAACAAAUCAGCUUGCCAGUGUUUGGCGGCAUCUCACGGGUGUGAUAACUAUCUACGCUCGCGGUUGUCUGCCAGGUAACCCUCAGCAAUGAAGGUUCAUUGGGGCUCAUAAACGUCUCUCCUCGGCGAGGACAGCUUUUGAACGUUCGAUCUCAAAUCAGGUAGGACUACCCGCUGAACUUAAGCAUAUCAAUAAGCGGAGGCU
RNAcentral lists this unclassified non-coding RNA (438 nucleotides) under uncultured Thelephoraceae. Its description in RNAcentral is "sequence contains ITS2". The stretch from base 1 to 155 matches the Rfam family "5.8S ribosomal RNA". The record is from RNAcentral. Lineage: Eukaryota; Fungi; Basidiomycota; Agaricomycetes; Thelephorales; Thelephoraceae.